GACCCGGGAGCGCGCUCCCGUACCUGAGCCCGGCAGCGAGGGAGGGCCGGAGGCUCGCGGCCGUGGCAACGGGCAGCCUCUUCGCGAGAUCUUGGACCAAAGGAUCGUGGGGAAUUACCUACAGCUGACGGUGAUAAAUGAAAAUGGCAUGUUUUGUGAAAUUCUUGGACACUUCGUAUAGUAUCAGCUCUAGGCAAAAUGGGAAGGGUUGUUGUUGCACACUGUGAGAGGGAGUGAAGACUGUCAUUAACUCUACAAGCACUGUACAUUGCUGAGCAAGAUAAUAAUAAGUCUAUUUAUAAUACCAGUGGAAA
Long non-coding RNA from Centrocercus urophasianus (Greater sage-grouse), 314 nucleotides. RefSeq lists it as uncharacterized. NCBI's taxonomy places the organism in Eukaryota, Metazoa, Chordata, Aves, Galliformes, Phasianidae. The transcript is spliced from 2 exons. The record is from RefSeq and is a predicted model, not a curated record.